UACAGAGGUGGCAAGCGUUGUUCGGAAUUACUGGGCGUAAAGGGCGCGUAGGUGGCCUUCUUAGUCAGACGUGAAAUCCCCGGGCUUAACUCGGGAACUGCGUCUGAUACUGGAAGGCUGGAGUUCGGGAGAGGAAUGUGGAAUUCCAGGUGUAGCGGUGAAAUGCGUAGAUAUCUGGAGGAACACCGGUGGCGAAGGCGGCAUCCUGGACCGGUAUUGACGCUGAGGCGCGAAAGCUAGGGGAGCAAACGGG
This 253-nucleotide ribosomal RNA is filed under the name uncultured bacterium. RNAcentral's name for it is "partial 16S ribosomal RNA". It matches the Rfam family "Bacterial small subunit ribosomal RNA", at positions 524 to 776 of the family's 1533-position model. The record is from RNAcentral.